GUUUCGCUGGUCAAGAACCCAAGUAAAACACACUUUUAGCUUUUUACUUUUUAUUAUUUUUUCAACUUACUGUGGGGUGUGUGGCGUGUCGGUGUGAGGUGUGUCGUUGCGGCCGGCCGGAAAUGGAGCACUGGGGGGGUUUCCUGCGGGUGUCCUGGGCGUUUGGAGGACCGACGGGCUUGAACGGGAUGACGGGGUACGCGGCACAACCUUCGCGCUUGAUAUUGCCACCGGGGUGGUAUGGUGGACGAUGACCAACGGGCUCAGCGGGGAAUGCCGAGGGCUGCGGGUGAUCACGGAUCGUUCUGGGCGUCGGAGGGUCCUCAAUGCCGGACGGGACUUCAGGCUGUCCAGGCAGGCCACUAGCUGAACGGAAAACGUAGUUCGGGCCUCCUAGGCGGCGGACGGGAUGCCUUACAGGUGUUCACGGGCCACGGGUGGCCACUACCAGGCUGAAUAGGCCUAUGAUAAUGGGUCCUGAGGAAAGUGGGGUUAUACACAGGGCUACUACUGGGCGUCUCACUAAUUGCUGAAUCACUCUUUCAACGGCUGAACCAUACCUGAUUCGAUAAUUCCUGAUUCACAGAUCACUUUCUCUUUCGACUAAAUAUUCAACUAUAACUUUAACUUAAACUCGAUAGAUCAACGGUUAAAUUGAUUUUGGCGGGCGGAUAUUUCUAUUAACGAACUAGUUGCCUCGAGAGGUCAGAGUCGAAAGACUUUGCUCUUGGCUAUCUUCGACCCAGUAGCCUGUCCCCUUUGCCUUUUCCCAAUUUCCCUUUUUCUUUCUUCUUCUGACGUGGAUGUGUCAUGGCGUCCACUUCUCCCCUUUUUGGCUCAUUUUGUGUAUGUGUUGUCUUAGAUCUGUUCAGUGUUGGGUGCAUGUGUGUUAACAAAUUUUGUUCUGAUUUUUAUUAAUUAUCUCUAACAAUUUACUAACUUAUAACAAAUAACAAAAUAACAAUUUUAUAUAAAUUCUACUAACAAAUACUAAACAAUUAACAAAUUUAUUCUCAAAAACAACGUAAUAAACAAAGUUAGCGUUUCUCAACGGUAACACCACCUCCCAUCUCCCUCUAAAAUUAAUUGUAUAAUUUAUUAUCAAUUAAUUUUCAUAAAGUUUACAUAACGAAAUAGCAUAUCAGGUUUGAGUUGCAACUUUCAUGCAUUCGAUUUUCCCAAAAACAGACAUUGUCGCGUGUAUUCACCAGAUAGUUCAUUCCUUACAUGCUCGGAAUGCUAUCUUUACCGCUUCUAAUACCCGAUUCUGUUACUUGGCCUUUUCAUCUUCCAAAUUACCCAAAACAGUGAAGUUUUGUGAAAGAUUACCAACACAUUCUUAGUUCGUGUGAAAUAUCAUGAUGCAAAUCUACCGAAUGGAUACUAUUUAUUGUUGUUUUGAUUUCAAUGUGCAUUUUUGGAUGGGUUUCUUAGAAUUUGGUAUUACGGAGCCGUUAUUUGGAGUCAUAGUGCAGACUUAACGCGUUAAAAAAAUCUGCAAACUGCGGAGAAGAAUUUGAUCACUACUAGUCAUAAUUCAUUGGACAGUUCUAUUCUUCGCACACAAGCCACAAUUCCUCAUAACAACAGACUAUUGACGAGAUGAUAUUCUACUUUUAUCGAACAGAGAUGGACCUACAACAAAAAACAUGUACCUACAUUCAUCUACAUCAACUUCACACUCGCUCUAACAAUUUUAGCUCUUCACAUAUACAAUACGAUCAUGAUCUUGAACAAUACUUUCGACCAACGCGGACAUGGUGAGGACGGCCGAAAUUCUACGCUGCUGGAUUUAGUGGUUUUGUGUUUGCUUCGGGUAAAAACUCGCGAUGCCGCAUUCGGAUUUUGAGAGUUACCUUUGGACUUCGACGACUCUGAUGCUACAACUUCGUGGAGCUGAGCGCUUCUACCACGAGCUGAAUUUUCGUGCGGUCUAUGGAACAUGGUCCAGUUAUUCUCGUCAAUGAUCCGCCCAUACUUCUUCAGUUUGGACAGCGAUCUGACUCCGGCACCAGUCAUGGCGUUCUUAUAUUCAAAACGGAGAUUACGCCAGAUGAUGUUAAAUUUCCUGCGCUCAGAAAUCGACCGAGUCAUCGAGUGAAAAAUCUUCAUAAUGUCGUGAAAAAAAUCAGUAAAUUUUUCCCCUCUUG
Aedes albopictus (Asian tiger mosquito) is the source of this 2150-nucleotide long non-coding RNA. RefSeq lists it as uncharacterized. The transcript is spliced from 2 exons. NCBI's taxonomy places the organism in Eukaryota, Metazoa, Arthropoda, Insecta, Diptera, Culicidae. The record is from RefSeq and is a predicted model, not a curated record.